RNAcentral lists this ribosomal RNA (433 nucleotides) under uncultured bacterium. RNAcentral describes it as "partial 16S ribosomal RNA". It matches the Rfam family "Bacterial small subunit ribosomal RNA", at positions 29 to 507 of the family's 1533-position model. The record is from RNAcentral.
AACGAACGCUGGCGGCAGGCCUAACACAUGCAAGUCGAGCGGACCCUUCGGGGUUAGCGGCGGACGGGGGAGUAACGCGUGGGAAUAUGCCCUUCUCUACGGAAUAGUCCUGGGAAACUGGGGGUAAUACCGUAUACGCUCUUUGGGGGAAAGAUUUAUCGGGGAAGGAUGAGCUCGCGUUGGAUUAGGUAGUUGGUGGGGUAAUUGCCUAUCAAGCCGUCGAUCCAUAGCUGGUUUGAGAGGCUGAUCAGCGACACUGGGGCUGAGACACGGCCCAGACUCCUACGGGAGGCAGCAGUGGGGAAUCUUAGACAGUGGGGGGAACCCUGAUCGACCCAUGCCGCGUGAGUGAUGAAGGCCUUAGGGUUGUAAAGCUCUUUCAGCUGGGAAGAUAAUGACGGUACCAGCAGAAGAAGCCCCGGCUAACUCCGUG